Molecule: ribosomal RNA, 468 nt
Filed under: uncultured bacterium
Lineage: Bacteria
Description: partial 16S ribosomal RNA
Rfam family: Bacterial small subunit ribosomal RNA
Source: RNAcentral
GACGAACGCUGGCGGCGUGCUUAACACAUGCAAGUCGAACGGAAAGGCCCUGCUUUUGUGGGGUGCUCGAGUGGCGAACGGGUGAGUAACACGUGAGUAACCUGCCCUUGACUUUGGGAUAACUUCAGGAAACUGGGGCUAAUACCGGAUAGGAGCUCCUGCUGCAUGGUGGGGGUUGGAAAGUUUCGGCGGUUGGGGAUGGACUCGCGGCUUAUCAGCUUGUUGGUGGGGUAGUGGCUUACCAAGGCUUUGACGGGUAGCCGGCCUGAGAGGGCGACCGGCCACAUUGGGACUGAGGUACGGCCCAGACUCCUACGGGAGGCAGCAGUGGGGAAUAUUGCACAAUGGGCGGAAGCCUGAUGCAGCAACGCCGCGUGCGGGAUGACGGCCUUCGGGUUGUAAACCGCUUUCGCCUGUGACGAAGCGUGAGUGACGGUAAUGGGUAAAGAAGCACCGGCUAACUACGUG